GAUGAACGCUAGCGGCAGGCCUAAUACAUGCAAGUCGAACGGGAUCCAGAUCAAAGCUUGCUUUGGUUUGGUGAGAGUGGCGCACGGGUGCGUAACGCGUGAGCAACCUACCCUUGUCAGGGGGAUAGCCCGGCGAAAGUCGGAUUAAUACCGCAUGACAUCAUUGAGAGGCAUCUUUCGAUGAUCAAAGAUUUAUCGGACAAGGAUGGGCUCGCGUGACAUUAGCUAGUUGGUAAGGUAACGGCUUACCAAGGCUACGAUGUCUAGGGGCUCUGAGAGGAGAAUCCCCCACACUGGUACGGAGACACGGACCAGACUCCUACGGGAGGCAGCAGUAAGGAAUAUUGGUCAAUGGACGGAAGUCUGAACCAGCCAUGCCGCGUGCAGGAAGACGGCCCUAUGGGUUGUAAACUGCUUUUAUACGGGAACAAACGUCGGUACGUGUACCGGUCUGAGUGUACCGUAAGAAUAAGGAUCGGCUAACUCCGUG
RNAcentral lists this ribosomal RNA (490 nucleotides) under uncultured bacterium. RNAcentral describes it as "partial 16S ribosomal RNA". It matches the Rfam family "Bacterial small subunit ribosomal RNA", at positions 28 to 507 of the family's 1533-position model. The record is from RNAcentral.